AUUGACAAGAGAGCCUCCUCUGUCUCCCUGGAAAGAUCUGGGGGCCCCCUGGCCCAUCUCUCCAUCCUCUUCAACAGGAGGGGCACCCAGAUAGAGAGGCAAAGAUGCACAGGCGAUGUCAAAGACAACACCAAGCUCCUUGGGUUGCCCAACAUCGGAAACACCUGUUUUAUGAACUCUGCUCUGCAGUGCCUGUUGGAACUGCCUGCAUUCUGCAGAGUCAUC
Esox lucius (northern pike) is the source of this 225-nucleotide long non-coding RNA. RefSeq lists it as uncharacterized. Lineage: Eukaryota; Metazoa; Chordata; Actinopteri; Esociformes; Esocidae. The transcript is spliced from 3 exons. The record is from RefSeq and is a predicted model, not a curated record.